Molecule: microRNA precursor, 200 nt
Organism: Oryza rufipogon (brownbeard rice)
Lineage: Eukaryota; Viridiplantae; Streptophyta; Magnoliopsida; Poales; Poaceae
Rfam family: MIR812 microRNA precursor family
Source: Rfam
AAUAACCGCAGUCAUAAGUUUUAGUGUCCAACUUUGAUCGUCCGUCUUAUUUAAAAAAAAUUAUUUGUUUUUUUAUUUUUAUUACAUUAUAAAACAUGAAUAUUACUUUAUACAUAACUUAUGUUUUUUAUUUUUUUUAAAAAAAUUCAAAUAAGACAGAUGAUUAAAGUUGGAUACGGAAACUCAUGGUUACACUUAUU